Molecule: ribosomal RNA, 496 nt
Filed under: uncultured bacterium
Lineage: Bacteria
Description: partial 16S ribosomal RNA
Rfam family: Bacterial small subunit ribosomal RNA
Source: RNAcentral
GACGAACGCUGGCGGCGUGCCUAAUACAUGCAAGUUGAGCGAUGAAGCUUGGUGCUUGCCCCAAUUUGAAGAGCAGCGAACGGGUGAGUAACGCGUGGGGAAUCUGCCUUUGAGCGGGGGACAACAUUUGGAAACGAAUGCUAAUACCGCAUAAAAACUUUAAACAUAAGUUUUAAGUUUGAAAGAUGCAUUUGCAUCACUCAAAGAUGAUCCCGCGUUGUAUUAGCUAGUUGGUGAGGUAAAGGCUCACCAAGGCGAUGAUACAUAGCCGACCUGAGAGGGUGAUCGGCCACAUUGGGACUGAGACACGGCCCAAACUCCUACGGGAGGCAGCAGUAGGGAAUCUUCGGCAAUGGACGAAAGUCUGACCGAGCAACGCCGCGUGAGUGAAGAAGGUUUUCGGAUCGUAAAACUCUGUUGGUAGAGAAGAACGUUGGUGAGAGUGGAAAGCUCAUCAAGUGACGGUAACUACCCAGAAAGGGACGGCUAACUACGU